This 304-nucleotide ribosomal RNA is filed under the name uncultured Bacillota bacterium. RNAcentral's name for it is "bacterial SSU rRNA". It matches the Rfam family "Bacterial small subunit ribosomal RNA", at positions 152 to 455 of the family's 1533-position model. The record is from RNAcentral. Lineage: Bacteria; Bacillati; Bacillota.
GGAAACUGGGAUUAAUACCUUAUGACACUUUAACCUCGCAUGGGGAAUAAGUUAAAGCGUAAAGCGGUGGAAGAUGGUCUCGCGUCCUAUUAGCUAGUUGGUGAGGUAACGGCUCACCAAGGCGACGAUAGGUAGCCGGCCUGAGAGGGUGAACGGCCACACUGGAACUGAGACACGGUCCAGACUCCUACGGGAGGCAGCAGUGGGGAAUAUUGCACAAUGGAGGAAACUCUGAUGCAGCGACGCCGCGUGAAUGAUGAAGGCCUUCGGGUCGUAAAAUUCUGUCCUUGGGGAAGAUAAUGAC